RNAcentral lists this ribosomal RNA (441 nucleotides) under uncultured bacterium. RNAcentral describes it as "partial 16S ribosomal RNA". It matches the Rfam family "Bacterial small subunit ribosomal RNA", at positions 338 to 795 of the family's 1533-position model. The record is from RNAcentral.
CCUACGGGAGGCAGCAGUGGGGAAUAUUGCACAAUGGGGGGAACCCUGAUGCAGCGACGCCGCGUGGGUGAAGGAGUAUUUCGGUAUGUAAAGCCCUAUCAGCAGGGAAGAACAAUGACGGUACCUGACUCAGACGCACCGGCUAAAUACGUGCCAGCAGCCGCGGUAAUACGUAUGGUGCAAGCGUUAUCCGGAUUUACUGGGUGUACAGGGAGCGCAGGCGGCGCGUUAAGCCUGGUGUGAAAGCCCGCGGCCCAACCGCGGGACUGCAUUGGGAACUGGCGCGCUGGAGUGCCGGAGGGGUAGGCGGAAUGCCUAGUGUAGCGGUGAAAUGCGUAGAUAUUAGGAGGAACACCAGUGGCGAAGGCGGCCUGCUGGACUGCGACUGACGUUGAGGCCCGAAAGCGUGGGGAGCAAACAGGAUUAGAUACCCGGGUAGUC